RNAcentral lists this long non-coding RNA (239 nucleotides) under Elaeis guineensis (African oil palm). RNAcentral describes it as "long non-coding RNA (EGUI_LNC035436)". Lineage: Eukaryota; Viridiplantae; Streptophyta; Magnoliopsida; Arecales; Arecaceae. The record is from RNAcentral.
GGGGCUUUGAGUGGAUCACCUGUAGAGGUCGGACACACUGUGUGGCUGCUCAACAUCAGAAAGGACCUCCUACCACAUCCAUCAAUACUAGUGAUCAUCGAUCCAUAAUUAGGUAAUAGGUUCUGAACUCAUCGGAUCAGAUCUAAGCGUUAGAUCUGAUUCAGGGCAUCGAUACGAUCAAUGCAGUAUUUGCUUUCAGAUCGGAUUUUUUUUGUAUAAUAUUUUCAUGUCAUAGAUCC